UGCCACAAUACGUUUGGUCGUCCUUGGUCGUUCGUCGUCCCGCAAACCGUGCCUCGCGAAAAAACCGCUUCGUCAAAACCAUCGCUUCUCUCAACCCACCCACGACCGCACAUCGGCCGCCGUCCAUCUCCCUGUCUCCCAUCUGCACGCCACGCCCGACCCAACCGCCAACGUUGCCACACCGCCGCUCGAGCCCUACGACGCCGCCACACCGUCUACCAUGAGUGGCUGGCUUGUUCCCGCCUGGCGACCUGCCGCCCGAGGACCACUCCGUCGCCUCGACGCCGCCGCCCGCCGCCCGCCCGCAGCCUCUCCGAUUGGAUUCCUCCGCAGAAUCACCCCCACACCCGAGGUGAUGCUGAAACAAAGAUUGCCUUGCUCGUAGCAGAUGGCGAGGACCCAGGGAGGAAGGAAACCAUGUUGUUCCCGCAUGGCGCCGGUAAUUUGGGUGGCGUGCAGGAUGCAGCUUCCCCUGACGCUACUAGGAAUUGUUGGAACAAGCUAGCUUUCCUAGGCAAACAUCGAUGGUCCAAGUACAAUUUAUGCCAAUCAGUGGUUCAUGUGACAUUAGCUAAACUCUAUUUUGAUGUUACUUUUGGUACCACUCCGAUUGCUCAUGUUGUCAAGGCUAUUUAGUAUUUAAUGUUCUGAAUUUGUCUCUUCUCUCAUUUGUCCUUACACCUACAUAAUUCAGUUUUCUUGUUCAGUGUUCGCCUCAUUUGAAAACGUAUGCUUGCAAUAUCUGGCCAAUAGAUGGUUCUCUAUGCAAUUUGAUUUGAUAUGAUAUGAUAUAUGAUGCUGCAGUGCGCCUCAUACGCUCGUCAUCAAGAAUAUCCCCAUUUGGUAUAGUAAUUUGGUGUUGUUCAAACAAGAAAGUUUAAGACGCCCAAGACUGAAGGUGAUGGUUUUUGCAGAUCAAGUGGUGGCCACUUUGUGGAGGGAUGUGGUUCAGUCCAUGGAAGACGUGAGGAUGUGAGUCUUGCUGUGACUACAUGCACUGCAUCAGUAUGCUUCUGUAACUAAAGUUGCCGCUAUAUUUUUUAGUCUUUUCACUGGUCAUUUUGGGCUUGUGUUUUUAGUGGGACACAAACGAUGAUUUCAAUGGGGUGAUGUAUUGCAAUUGAUUCUCCUUUCCAUAGAAAAUUUUCCGAGGUAGAUCGGGACAGAAUUGUUCAUGCCGUAUUUCUCCUCGAGUCGGCAUUUUGCGUGCUAUUGGCAACUAUUGCGGGCGUGCAUCCUACCCAGUAGUUUUCAUGUGGUAUGGGAAUACAAAACCUAGAAAGACAUUAUUUUUUUGGUACAAUUGUUUGGUGAAGAAAUAUGUCCUUUAUAUACUCACCCAAUUUUGGCUGGCGAUGGUAAGCUUGUAUUCCAGGAAGCGGCAAAGCGAAGCUAAUCAUGUUGGUUCACUGACCUUGACUUUUGGUACUAAUGUGAAUUGAUCACUCCCAAUGCAUCAGAUCUCUUGUUUUACAGCCAGAUUGUGCUGCAUUUUUUCAUUCCCUUUGAAGAACUCUCAUUUAUAUCUUUACUUAAUUGCUAGAAAAAUACCAUAUUGAUCUUGAACCACUUAUUUCCCUUUUCCUAACAUUUUUAAGUCUACAACUUUGUUCUGGCAGUUUGCUUGGUUAAAAAUUGACAAGGUUUUGUCUCUGCAUUUAUAUCUUUACUUAUUUUUGCAGUUUUCACUCUGGCAUUUUUAGAAGUUACUUUUUAUUUAGCUUAUAUGCAUGAAUUUAUAUGACCUCGCUUCAUUUCAUAUUCUAGCUAUAGUAUAAUCCAUAGACUAAAUAUGAGAACGUGCUUUAGAAUAGGUUAGUACUUUAUUUGGAACGUAUGGAGUACUUAUUAUUGAAUGCUGAUGCUGAAUUCUAAAUAUGGUUGACCUAUAGGAUUAUCUGAUCCAUAUAUCUUGCCUGCACCUUUUGUUACGUAUGAGAAUGAGAUGCAAAUUAUCCCUUAGAACUAUUGUAUUGUGUCAUCUUUCUUCAGAAUUAUCUAAACAUAUGUAUCCAUUUGAUUCUAUAAGGUUUCCUCUAAAUCAUCGCUUAUGCAUUCAUAUCAAAGGAAUUAUGCAUGAUGAAGUUAUUUUGCUUUGCAGGAUCAACCACCUAUUUAUUCACAACUUGAAGUGUCAACUAUACAUAUAGAGUUAGUGUUCGCUGCUGGUAGUUAAAUUUCAAGUUGUUUCUUGAUACGGCCUACAAAUAUAAAACAUAACAUCUUUCGAGUCAUAGAGGCUACAUUUGGCCUCAUUACUUCUAAUUAUCCUCAUUGAUACCAACUUGAACAUGAGAUAGAAUUCCACGAUUAGUAUUCUGUGGCAUUGUUCUUUUGUUAGGGCAUAUGCUGCAUUGAUCUCUGCUUGUACUUCUGUGCCACAAGAUAUUUCUGGGAUCCAACUAUACUUGAUAUUGGUACACAUCCAACUGGUAAUGGUUAUCAUUAGGACAGAAAAAAGCAUAGCCCAGCUUCCCUUGAUUUUUUUCAGCAUAAGGUACUUCUUUAUAGAUGAAAGGACAAAUCCACAUCCCUAGGAUAAUUUUAUAAAUUAAACUUGAGUUAAAAGAAUUACUUUGGACAGGAAAAUAUAUCAAAAAACCAACUUUGUACUGAAGAAUGUUCAAUACAUUGUCUACCCAAGCAAUUAUAUGAAUACUCAUGUGUACAUUUUUGUCAGCCCCAUUUCUUUAUUUUCCUAGGCAUAUGUUACGCAUUUACUUGCAUUAUCCUACUACUGCGGUCUUAGGAUCACAUUUAUAUCUUGUAAGCUCUGUCUGAAGAGUAUGAAAUAUCAAAUAUUCAUGUGACAAUUAAUUAGAUUAGAGAAUUACACCAUUUCAUACAAAACAAAAAGGAGAAGGAUAUUGUCUCUAUGUUUAUGUAUCCUAGGGAUCUUAUUUUUUUCACAAGUUCAAUGUUGUAAAUCCAGGGAGUGAAUAAUCAAGAAAAAAUGUCUGUAUGUACAAUCCAAUCAAUGGUUAUUUGUUCCUAUAGUUUACUGUUAAAAAGCAUUGGACUACAAAUAUCCAUUGUAUAAAAGUCUUAAAUUAGCAUGGAAAGAUGGCUAACAAAUUUCACUCAAACUUUAGUUUAACCAGAAAGCCUGCAUUGAUACUGCCAAAACUGUAAAUGUCUGCAGACUGUCCUUCCAGUCAUAAUUGGGCUCUUGGCAUUUCAAUUUAACAAUUUAUGAGCUAAUAAAGAGGAUUAGUAUCCUUUAGGAUCUUCUUUGGAGGGUUGUCUGUUUGUAGCUUGUUAGACAUACAAUAUCUUUCCUAUCGAUUUGUACAAGAUGUAGAAUCAUAUAGCUAUAUUGAAAAUGUGCUAUGCCACUGACUUGGUAUUUACAGGAGUAUAUGGACUAAAGUUGUCGUAAAACAACCCCUGCUCAUCCUCCAUCUUUGCCCUGGAUUCGUCUAUUUGAUUUGUGACCUUGCCAUCUUCUUCCUGCAGGCUCUCAUGUAGUACCAAGGGGCAGCUGCACGACAAAGAGUUGGGAGCAGGGACGCGAGCUGGUGCAUGAGAGGCGGAAGUUCAGACGGUUCAUUCAGAGCAUAUACGACUUCUGUAUCUUUUCUAAAGAAGAACUUCAGGAGGACCUGAGGCAUAUUCCUGUUUGGGGAAGAGGCUUAUAUUGGAGACAAUGCUUGCUCAACAUACGUACUUUACCGGUUCUUCUUUGGAUAUGGAUGUUCUAGAAAACUAAUUCACCGACACUUUUUUGAUGAACAAAAAAGUAUUGUUAUGUUCGUAUAUUAUUCCAGAACCAUGAAAUAUUGUAGGAACUAACUCAAGGGCCAUGGUAGUUUGUUGAUAGUUUACUUCAUCUUUGUUGUGCGAUUUUGUACAUUUUGUCUAUUCAGUUCACAUGUUAGAUAAUUUGGAAAUGCAACUUUGGCAAUCUGUACCACAUGUUAGGUAAUAGAUCGAUCAUUAAUAUUAUUUAUUCCCCUCUCACAUUAUUCAUUUAUAAAUCAUAUUUUCAAACACAUUUCAAUCCAUCACAUAAUUAAGCAAUGUGUUGUUUCUUUAAUAUACUGUAACAAAGAGUUUUACUAUCACUCUUUGGGCAAUAAAACUGUAAAAAUGGUUCUGUGAACCAAUUAGAAACAUUAUUUGAAAAUAAUUUAAAUACUUAUUUGUUUCCAAAUAUUACAUGGGUUGAUUAUUUAUUUAUCCCCCAAUUUGUUCUUGUGUUCAUUUAUUAUUCACCAAUGAAUUCAAUGUAUUAUUUAUUAUAUACCAUUCAUUUACUGGUAACUUCAUAAUUUCUAUUGUAGAUCUUACUCCCUCUUUGACACAGAAAAAUAUCCCUUUGCCUCCGUUUGCUUGGGCGUAUUUGGUGGUUCUGUUGGAGAUCACCCUAUGGACAAUUUGACUUCGCUCUAUCUCAAUGCACCCUAUUAUUCAGUCCAGCUUGUCUUCCACUGGUUCUAACUUGGGAACCGCCGCACCUGAAAUGAUGUCUACAUGUUUUUGAUAGGUUAAUUUUUUGUGUGUGGUGUGUGUUAUGAUAAGAAACUAUUCCAUCACCUCGAUCUUUAUGUGUCUUUGGAUGGUCAUUAACCAAUGAUCCACGAUUUGGUAUGUGUGUGAGUUGUCUUUUCAUGUAUCUGAAUAAUAAUUUAUUGUAAUUUUUUUUAUCUAAAUGUCUAUGAAUGAUCUAUGCAUAUCACUACAUCUUUGUGUAAAGUUGGAACAAUAUAAUUUAUUUUCUGGCUUU
Molecule: non-coding RNA, 4726 nt
Organism: Lolium perenne
Lineage: Eukaryota; Viridiplantae; Streptophyta; Magnoliopsida; Poales; Poaceae
Source: RefSeq, a predicted model, not a curated record